GCUCACACCUGCCUGCUUAACGAGCUCUCUCUCACUCUGCCAUGGUUAAAAUGUUAGAUUGUAGUAAGAUUAACUUUUUCAAUAGUACAAUAAGACAGAUUUGACAGGGUUUUGCCACAGAUUAAUAGUUUUUCAGUAGUUAGUAUAUGCCAACUAAGUAGAGCAUUGUGAUUGGCACAAAGGUUUUUCAGAUCUGGGCAGUUGGAGUCAGUUGAUGACUUCAAAAUCAUCCUUUCUGACUGGAUAAUUAAAGCUCUCAGCAUCUAUCGGUCUGUAGUUAAUUUUCCCACCUUUUAACUAACGUUUAACUAAUCUAAUCUCAUUUAAUGUCUUUGUUUAUAGUCUGUAUAGUUUAUCUCCCCACGAAUACACUCAAAGUAGUCUUAAAAUAAAACCCACAAAACAGUUCAAGAUUUAAUACUUUUUAUUUGCUCAUUUAAUGCCAGUUGCCCUGUUUUUCUGUAUGUCACUCAUUCGCUUAUACUUGGGCAAAAAGGACCAAUUUGUACACUAGUAUAGUGUAUUUUUUCCCUCUAUCUCUCUAUGUCUGUCACACACAGAGACCAACACACAGACAUGUAUAUGCUCAUUAUUGCUGUUCAAACUGAUGGUCAAAUUUCCAAGCACCACCUGAACGCCUCAUCUGUUUUUAACCUAUCACUGGACCAACUGUCGUCAUUCCGCUUUGCUCUCUGCUGUGGAACCUGACUGACACUGUGCUUUGCCUGAGUGUGUAGAAGAAGAAGAACAAGGACCAGAUCUCCAGUCUUCUCUCUCACAUCCCAACCCCCCAACCCCUCUAUCCUCUGUCCUGCUCCACCUAUUGUCUCUGCCUUCUUUCCAUCUGUAUUUCACUCUGUGGUUUGUGAGAAAUUUUGCCAAACCAACAAUCCUUUUGCGGUUUGAUUUAAAGCCGUGUCUCUCCUGCUCUGUCUGUUCUCUCUGCUAAAUUUUCUCUCUACCUGUUUUUCACUCUUGGCUUGCUGCUGAAAAACGCCAAGCGACACAGUCCUCCUGUGUCUUCUCCAAUCUUCACAUGUAAGAUCCAACAGUGUGAGGCACAUAGCAGCCAGAAACUGUAAUGCCACAGAACAGAGAGGCUUCAUCAUCACCAUCUUCAUCACCGUACGAUCAGAGCGUGAGACUUCACAUCUGGAGCACAGGAGACAUUCUGUGAUAAGUCCUCCUUCUAGCUUGUCCCACAAGCAGUCGAGCUGAGACACUCAGGACUGAACAGACUGCACAGUUUCUGUGACUGAGCCUCCAAAACACCUUCUUUGAAACCACUCAUGAUAGAAGGGCUUUAUAUUUGCAGCAGCACUACUACAGUUGGCAGGAAUGUUGCUGCAGGAAAACAUCCCUGGAGAUCACCAUCAUUGUCAGACUGACUGUGCCUCCUCUGUGCAGUGUCAAGAUCCUCCCUAAAUGAGUGUUUCUCAGCUAUCCUGCUUCUGUGCUGCUUGCCACACAUCAAACUCUGGCCGGAUGACAGGGAGGAUCCACUCUGAAGUCACUGGACAUUAUGAGGAUCAUAUGGGACUUCAUAGUUUCACAGUAACAUUGUGCUCUGUGAUUACAGGUUUUAAAUGGAUACAAUGACUGCCUCUCUCUGAUCAACAGGCUAAAGGAUUGUUUUCAUUGUUAGUGCUCUGUACAAUGUAUGCUUAUUUAGUAUUUCAUCACAGAGCAAACCUUUAUUUAUUUAACAUAUUUUUAUUUUGUUUUAAUGUUGAAUUAACUGUAGGGAUUUUUUUAAGUGGGCACUCGGGAUGUCAUAUGACCAGAAAUGUGGUAACUGGAAUUCAACAGUAUGGAAGAAAAAAUCUGCUAAGAACAAAACACACACAAAACCCCCCAAGAAAAUUCAAAUUCAUUCCAUGUAAUCCAAUCUAAAACAUUUUAAACUGCUGAACAGCAACACAAACAGUGUUAAAAAACAGUGUUAACAGAAUGAUUAUGAUGAGUUUGUACCAAAGUUUCAGGUCACAUGGCACACCUAGUGUGUAGUGUGGGGUAUCAGCUGGUAAGUAUAGGUUUUUUCAUAUUUGUGUCCUUAGAGUUCAGAUAGAUAAAGACUUGUGUAUAAUAAUUAGUCAUAAGCACAACUCAAAGUCAGGGACUAACUAAAUUUGGGACUUUGUGUCUGAGCCCAGGUUAAAACACUGUGUAAAAAAGCAUUUAGCGGCAUGGCUGAACAAUGCUGUAAACUAUUGAUACUUAUUUAUCCAUGUUCACAAAAAGGACUAAUGUUUUUAUUUGAUUAUGAUGUAUAUAAUACCGGUACUAUUAAACAUGAUAUACAUAUGUGUAUAUGUCUGAAAAACAUUAUGCUGUAUAUGAAAGUUUGUAUUUUCUCCAG
This is a non-coding RNA of Maylandia zebra (zebra mbuna), 2359 nucleotides long. The record is from RefSeq and is a predicted model, not a curated record. NCBI's taxonomy places the organism in Eukaryota, Metazoa, Chordata, Actinopteri, Cichliformes, Cichlidae.